UUUGAUCCUGGCUCAGAACGAACGCUGGCGGCGUGUUUAAGACAUGCAAGUCGCACGGAGAAUACGGAUAGCUUGCUAAUUGUAUUCUUAGUGGCGCACGGGUGAGUAACACGUGAGUAACAUGCCUCGUAGAGGGGAAUAGCCCACCGAAAGGCGGAUUAAUACCCCAUAGUCCCGCAAGGGUAAAGGUGGCCUUCGGGCUGCCGCUACGAGAUUGGCUCGCGUCCUAUCAGCUUGUUGGUAAGGUAACGGCUUACCAAGGCAACGACGGGUAGCUGGUCUGAGAGGACGAUCAGUCACACUGGAACUGAGACACGGUCCAGACACCUACGGGUGGCAGCAGUCGAGAAUAAUUCACAAUGGACGAAAGUCUGAUGGUGCAACGCCGCGUGGAGGAUGAAGGCCCUAGGGUCGUAAACUCCUGUCAUCUGAGAGUAAGACCUGGCGGUUAAUAGCCGACAGGGUUGAUAGUAUCAAAAGAGGAAUGGACGGCUAACUUCGUGCCAGCAGCCGCGGUAACAAGACGUCUACCAGCGUGUUGUCGGAACUC
RNAcentral lists this ribosomal RNA (550 nucleotides) under uncultured Verrucomicrobiota bacterium. RNAcentral's name for it is "bacterial SSU rRNA". It matches the Rfam family "Bacterial small subunit ribosomal RNA", at positions 12 to 553 of the family's 1533-position model. The record is from RNAcentral. Lineage: Bacteria; Pseudomonadati; Verrucomicrobiota.